UGACCUCAAAUCAGGUAGGACUACCCGCUGAACUUAAGCAUAUCAAUAAGCGGAGGAAAAGAAACUAACAAGGAUUCCCCUAGUAACUGCGAGUGAAGCGGGAAAAGCUCAAAUUUAAAAUCUGUCAGUCUUUGGCUGUCCGAGUUGUAAUCUAGAGAAGCGUUAUCCGCGCUGGACCGUGUACAAGUCUCCUGGAAUGGAGCGUCAUAGAGGGUGAGAAUCCCGUCUUUGACACGGACUGCCAGGGCUUUGUGAUGCGCUCUCAAAGAGUCGAGUUGUUUGGGAAUGCAGCUCAAAAUGGGUGGUAAAUUCCAUCUAAAGCUAAAUAUUGGCGAGAGACCGAUAGCGAACAAGUACCGUGAGGGAAAGAUGAAAAGAACUUUGGAAAGAGAGUUAAACAGUACGUGAAAUUGCUGAAAGGGAAACGCUUGAAGUCAGUCGCGUUGUCCAGGGAUCAACCUUGCUUUUGCUUGGUGUACUUUCUGGUUGACGGGUCAGCAUCAAUUUUGACCGUUGGAAAAAGGUCAGGGGAAUGUGGCAUCAUUAGAUGUGUUAUAGCCCUUGGUUGUAUACAAUGGUUGGGAUUGAGAACCUCGCACUUUUUCGA
RNAcentral lists this ribosomal RNA (607 nucleotides) under Cortinarius (Telamonia) sp. PK4085. Its description in RNAcentral is "eukaryotic LSU rRNA". It matches the Rfam family "Eukaryotic large subunit ribosomal RNA", at positions 1 to 608 of the family's 3401-position model. Lineage: Eukaryota; Fungi; Basidiomycota; Agaricomycetes; Agaricales; Cortinariaceae. The record is from RNAcentral.